AGCCCAACCUCCAAUACACACUUACUGUACUGUAAUAAUUUUUUGGAAGUUAACUGUGAAUUCGUUUUAGUAGUACAGCUCUAUUCAAACCACAUUGGAAGGGCGGGCCUACGCCGGCUAACUCCAUCUUGUUCUGUGUCCUUCACCUUGACCACACCUCCUCCCCUUGAGUAACCCCCCCCCCCCACACCUGCCUAACAGGACUCUUCCCCAGGACCCUUCCCCAGCCAAUCGGCUGAGGCCACAGCCAUUACCUCACCAACUGCCCCUAGGCCCCAAUAAAACCUUUGUCCUUUUGAAACUGGCUCUCUCUCCCCGGUAUCUCACCUCUGCAUCAGUGCAGGUAGGGGAUUGAGCUCGAGCUAGCUCGAAUAAAGGCUCUUUUGCUUUUACAUCGGACUCGGCUCCCUGGCGGUAUUUGGGGAUCACGAAUUCUGGGCAUAACACACAUGACAUGAGUAUUAAUUUAUUCUCAAUACCAGCUAGCUCUGGUUCUUUAAUUACCUUUUUCUGUCAUGUAAGAUCGAUGAGGGAGCAUGAGGCAAGUUGAGGGCAAAAUACAAGUUAGCACAUGCCCCCGCCCCAGGUGGGAUAUGUGUGAUUCUGGCUGCUCGAGGACAAAGGAAAGGAAAGAAAACAAAUGGUUAACUGAUAAGAGAUCUCAGUCGGGCAAGAUAGGAGUUUCCAUCAGUUUACAAAUAUCUUAGUAAAUUACAAGAAAAAGGCAAUCUUAUCAAUAGCCUAAUCGCCAGAAACCUACAGAAUCAGCUUCCUGGAGCCCCAACAUCACCCCUCCAUAGUGAUAUGGGGAACAAAGGCAAGAAGGAAAUCUCAGGUAAAAUUAAAUUUCCUUAUAACCUGCAGCCUAUUGACAGAUACUUGAGGCAGGCAAAUAAAAUAUUUCUCCAGGAACUCCCUACUGUCUUAAUGCUUUGCUAGAGGGAAAAACAACCUUAGCUUGACAAUAGCAAGGCCUCUGGUAUCUUAGGAGUCCUCUUUCACAUAUCACAGUCCCUCUGGAGACUUCCCUUUUGACUUGACCUCCCAAUUCCAUAGCAUAUAACCUGUCACUCUUCACAACCCCAGCGCAGUUCUUUCUGCCCACGGUCCUGUCCCUGUGCUUUCAUAAAAUCGCCUUUUUGCACCAAAGACAUGUUCAAGAAUUCUUUCUUGGCCGUCGGCUCCCGACUCCCCACCAUCUCCCCAAAACUUCAUCAAGAUGAACGUGAAAACUCAACACAAGCAAGUUGUUGCCUUGUCCACGACAAAUCUUUUCUAUUCCACAACCAUCCCCUACUUUGUCACCCCCUAGCUCGUUACCCUGCUGCACUGAUGCCAGCAUGGCUCACAUACGUUUUCCCAUCAACGGCCAUCUUUUUCUCCUUCCAGUAUGAAAGAUUCUUGGGGACAGUCCCUGUGUAUUCUUUGUACCCCCAGUACUUAGUACACUGUCGACACAGAGUGCGCGUGGCACUGAGUGUUUUUCAAUGAAUUCAUUCAUUGUUAUCAACGGAUUCCACCCUAUUUUGUCCUGUAUUGCCUACAUAACUAUGAAAUUCAGAUUCUUAGAAGAGACUCUCGGUGUUAUAAGAUGCUUAGUAGAGGUGGUGAGUUUUAAGACAUUAUAUUGACACCACUAAAACCUCUUGGUGGAGAAACUCAAUGAGCCCGUUCUCUGGCAUGCCGGCAAAACAAAAAACUGACCCUCAGUAUUCUUUCCCCAAGUUAGGCAUCAGCAAAUUAAUGAGAGGAGAGAGGAGGCCCCUGCUCUUGGGCACCCGCAGGAACUUACUCCAGCUCCGGACACACCGUAAACACUUUCAUCUAAUGGAAGAUAAGUUGUGAAAUCGGAUUUCUGAACCACAAGACACUUGUGUAAAAACGGCAUUCCAUGCCAGGCCUGAAAUGUUCCAAAGCUCAGUUCGCCCUUUAAGAACAUGAAAAUCAUUCUGAACUCAUAGGUUGUAUCAAGACAGACCAUAUACAGGAUUUGAUCCACGGGCCAUAAAUAAUAAAUAUAAAUAAAAGCAGAUGGUAUAUGAACACUUACAUAACAAGGUUCAUAUGGGUGUCCAUAAUUGCUCAGACUUCAUUACCCCUUUUCCUCUACAACUGAAGGGCUUUUU
Molecule: long non-coding RNA, 2126 nt
Organism: Panthera uncia (snow leopard)
Lineage: Eukaryota; Metazoa; Chordata; Mammalia; Carnivora; Felidae
Exons: 3
Source: RefSeq, a predicted model, not a curated record